GGAAGGACGUCUCUGGGCUAGCAGUGUUUUCCAUCCAGCUAGGAGUCCACAAGCAAGAACCUAUAGCCACAAGCCCAUCUCUUCAGUGCAGGCUCUGGAAAAACAAAAAAAAAUUACACGAAGGAGUUUCUCAUCACAGCCACUCUGUCUGCAAUGAAGAGAAUCUUAAACUGAGAAAUUCAUGCUGUCACCAUCCAAAAUGCACGUC
RNAcentral lists this long non-coding RNA (208 nucleotides) under Fukomys damarensis (Damara mole-rat). RNAcentral's name for it is "lncRNA (ENSFDAG00000026767.1)". Lineage: Eukaryota; Metazoa; Chordata; Mammalia; Rodentia; Bathyergidae. The record is from RNAcentral.